This 196-nucleotide small nuclear RNA is filed under the name Xenopus laevis (African clawed frog). RNAcentral's name for it is "U2 spliceosomal RNA". It matches the Rfam family "U2 spliceosomal RNA". From Rfam's summary of the family: U2 is a small nuclear RNA (snRNA) component of the spliceosome (involved in pre-mRNA splicing). Complementary binding between U2 snRNA (in an area lying towards the 5' end but 3' to hairpin I) and the branchpoint sequence (BPS) of the intron results the bulging out of an unpaired adenosine, on the BPS, which initiates a nucleophilic attack at the intronic 5' splice site, thus starting the first of two transesterification reactions that mediate splicing. The record is from Rfam by way of RNAcentral. Lineage: Eukaryota; Metazoa; Chordata; Amphibia; Anura; Pipidae.
ACAUUUUUUGUACUUUUUGUAACAAAAAAAUCAAAAAAAAAUCUGUUCUUAUCAGUUUAAUAUCUGAUACGUCCCCUAUCUGGGGAAUAUUUAUAUAAAAUGGAUUUUUGGAACAGGGAGAUGAAAGAAGAGCUUGCUCUGUCCACUCCACGCAUCGACCUGGUAUUGCAGUACCUCCAGGACCGGUGCACUUCUC